This 1453-nucleotide small RNA is filed under the name Arabidopsis thaliana (thale cress). RNAcentral's name for it is "ATSL211680". Lineage: Eukaryota; Viridiplantae; Streptophyta; Magnoliopsida; Brassicales; Brassicaceae. The record is from RNAcentral.
GUUUUAAAAAGGUAUAGCUGCAUCCAUGAUGGAUUGCCUACGUACCCUGUGAAGGGAUCAAGCCAUUCGUAGUUCUCAAUAGGUAUAAAGUUCUAUGUUUCUUGUGAAUAUCCCAAGAUCUCCCCCUUUUUGUGAAGUCCCUAAGGCACUUUAUAUAGGAUCCUUAAACCGCCUCCCUAGCGAUAUUCUUCGGAAGAUUCUUAUUUAUCCUUAGGUCGGUUCUAGAGGAUAAUCGUCCUAAGGAUAUUCUCCUUAUUCUUCGGAGGUUUUGGGGAGAUUUCCUGAUUUCGACAUUAUCUUCAAAGAUUCUCCUUUAUCAUUUCUGAAAGUCCCAUAAAAGAUCCCAUUUUACCGGAAAUGAUCCUUGGAGAAUGAAUGGUUUUUACAAGUCUUUGCCUCGCGUGUUCUUCACGGCUCGGUGGUCGUUUGAGAGGUGGCUUCGGGGCAAACGGUAUGUACCGGCUCGGGGCGCGCUUGAUGACUGUCCAUUAAGCUCAGUUGGCUGUCUCCCGAGCCGAUAUAGAUGUGUCCCGCAGCGUUCUCACGAUUGGCUCGGGCUGUGUUCAUAUGAUUAACACCCGAGCCAUUUUACAAACUCUCUUCGGGACGGUCGAUCGAAUAAGGUCCCGAGGUGCUUUGUUCUAGGCUAGGGGCCAAUCAUAUGUUUAACCAUGAGGUGAUUGUUAUUCUUAGACUGUUUGGCUCGGUCUUGCUUGUGGGGGAAUCCGACCCCAACGAAGUUGUACCUUGACGGAAGAGAGCACGAAUGGGAUCGGUGCGGGUGUCUGGAAAGUGCCUGAAGAAGGUUCAUGUGAUGAUCAAACUCUGGAAUGCUACUGGGAGUACUGACUGUACCAAAACCUCCUCCAACAGUGCCACAGGGAACAAGCAAGCCCCAUAUCAAUGUGUGAUGAAGUUGAAGGAGCAGGGUCGUAAGGUGGACUUCCACAGUUAGAAGGAGGCUUGUGUGAUGGAGGAGCUCCAUAUCCUUCGUCAUAGUACUGAUUUCCGGAUCUGAAUAAAGAAGCAUGGCAUCAUUUGGAAGUAAGAGAUCACAUGAGAAUACCAUCCCUAGAACCGAGAGAGAAAAGUUUAUGUUAAUAAAUUUUUAUUGUAUAAUUGAUAUUGAAAAACAUUAAUAAACAGUGUUCACAUAAGGUGUAAAUUCACCCCAAAAGCACUCUAAAAAGUAAAAACCAAAAGAGAAAAAAACAUAGAAAUGGUUACUUAAUAAUAUACCGAGUUUCAUCUAUUUACUUAAUAAUAUACGGUUAUUUGAUUUACCGGUUAACUAAAAAAUAUCUGGUUUAAUCGUAUUUAUUGUUGGCAAACACAACAUUGGGCGCGAAGUGGUUUUUGAUGCCCUUCAACAACAUUUGGGGGUUUCAUUUCAAUCGCAUUUCUAGGGUUUCUUUCUCUACGAUUCAAUAGAUUCGGACGAAUUGGGGGAUUC